CCCUUAGAUGUUCUGGGCCGCACGCGCGCUACACUGAUGCAUUCAACGAGUCUAAAACCUGGUCUGAUAGGGCUGGGUAAUCUUUUGAAUGUGCAUCGUGAUUGGGAUAGAUGAUUGCAAUUCUUCAUCUUCAACGAGGAAUGCCUAGUAAACGCAAGUCAUCAGCUUGCAUUGAUUACGUCCCUGCCCUUUGUACACACCGCCCGUCGCUCCUACCGAUUGAAUGUUCCGAUGAAUACCAUGGACUGAGAGUAUGAAUGGGUUCGCCUAUUUCUGCUUCUCGGGAAGUGGAGUAAAUCUUAACGUUUAGAGGAAGGAGAAGUCGUAACA
RNAcentral lists this ribosomal RNA (330 nucleotides) under uncultured eukaryote. RNAcentral's name for it is "partial 18S ribosomal RNA". It matches the Rfam family "Eukaryotic small subunit ribosomal RNA", at positions 1470 to 1796 of the family's 1831-position model. The record is from RNAcentral.